UCUCAAAUCGACCAAUUAGUGCAUGUGAUUCAAGCCACAAACCCUCAUCUUUAUGGAUGCCUUCUUAGGUUAUAUUCAAAUUUUGAUUGCUCUCAAGGAUGAGAAAAAAACUGCUUUUACAACUGACCAUGGGCUUUUUUAUUAAAGGAUCAUGCUGUUCGGCCUAAAAAAUACAAGAGUGAUUAGCCAAUGGCUAACAAGCA
RNAcentral lists this long non-coding RNA (203 nucleotides) under Elaeis guineensis (African oil palm). Its description in RNAcentral is "long non-coding RNA (EGUI_LNC061352)". Lineage: Eukaryota; Viridiplantae; Streptophyta; Magnoliopsida; Arecales; Arecaceae. The record is from RNAcentral.